GUAAAACCCAACAGUGCAUCUUACUAAAAGAAGUAAGUUGUUCUUACUCAGUUCUGAAAAAUAGUUAAAGUAACUUUCAUGAAGUGUGUUAGGUAGACCCAAACCUAUACAUAUGAUAUAAUAACUUUAUUGUAAUAAGUACACAUUAUGUUUUUGUAAAGUUUUAAGUAAUGUUGCUUUAAACUGUUUAAGUUGUGUUAAUUCAUUUGUAUUAGUCAUCAUCCACAGCCCCGCCCCCAGUGUUUUGCCUGGACUUGUCGGCCAUGAGACAGGAGCCUCGUCAAGAGAGUAGGAAAGUACAAGAUAAAGUUAUUUUUAUGUUUUUUUGUUAAUGCUUACUUCUAGCAUACAAAACGUACAUUUAUCAGACUGCUUUGUUUUAGUUGUACUUCGUUGUAAUUUAUCAGACUACUUUGUUGUAGUAGCUCGUAACUUAGCUUGCCAGCACACAAUUCCCGCCUAGCGCUGUAUGGAGUCUGCCUUCACAAUUUAAAAAAUUAACGGUUGGUGGCUUGUUUCAAUCAAUAGUUGUCUGACGAUUGAAGGAGCAGUAGCAUGCCGAGAGAUCAUCCAGCACUGCACUAAAGACAGCCAGUAAAGGCUUCCCACCUGACUUCCUUCC
Molecule: long non-coding RNA, 622 nt
Organism: Haplochromis burtoni (Burton's mouthbrooder)
Lineage: Eukaryota; Metazoa; Chordata; Actinopteri; Cichliformes; Cichlidae
Exons: 3
Source: RefSeq, a predicted model, not a curated record